RNAcentral lists this ribosomal RNA (253 nucleotides) under uncultured bacterium. RNAcentral's name for it is "partial 16S ribosomal RNA". It matches the Rfam family "Bacterial small subunit ribosomal RNA", at positions 524 to 776 of the family's 1533-position model. The record is from RNAcentral.
UACAGAGGUCCCGAGCGUUGUUCGGAUUCACUGGGCGUAAAGGGUGCGCAGGCGGCCGAGUGUGUGAGGCGUGAAAGCCCGGGGCUUAACCCCGGAAUUGCACCUCAAACUACACGGCUAGAGCAUUGGAGAGGGUAGCAGAAUUCAUGGUGUAGCAGUGAAAUGCGUAGAUAUCAAGAGGAACACCUGAGGUGAAGACGGGUUGCUGGGCCGACACUGACGCUGAGGCGCGAAAGCCAGGGGAGCAAACGGG